Molecule: ribosomal RNA, 344 nt
Filed under: uncultured bacterium
Lineage: Bacteria
Description: bacterial SSU rRNA
Rfam family: Bacterial small subunit ribosomal RNA
Source: RNAcentral
ACUCCUACGGGAGGCAGCAGUGGGAAUAUUGCACAAAUGGGGGAAAAGCCCUGAUGCAGCCAUGCCGCGUGUGUGAAGAAGGCCUUCGGGUUGUAAAGCACUUUCAGCGAGGAGGAAAGGGUGUGUGUUAAUACCAUACAUCUGUGACGUUACUCGCAGAAGAAGCACCGGCUAACUCCGUGCCAGCAGCCGCGGUAAUACGGAGGGUGCGAGCGUUAAUCGGAAUUACUGGGCGUAAAGCGUGCGCAGGCGGUUUGUUAAGCGAGAUGUGAAAGCCCCGGCUCAAGCCUGGGAACUGGCAUUUCGAACUGGCAGUACUAGAGUGCUUGUAGAGGGGGGUAGAA